GAUGAACGCUAGCGGCAGGCCUAACACAUGCAAGUCGAGGGGCAUCACGGAUUGCUUGCAAUCUGGUGGCGACCGGCGCACGGGUGCGUAACGCGUAUACAACCUACCUUUUGGAGGGGAAUAGCCCAGAGAAAUUUGGAUUAAUACCCCAUAGUAUAUAGGAAUCUCCUGAUUUUUUAUAUUUAAACAUUUUAUGGCUAUUAGAUGGGUAUGCGUCCUAUUAGCUAGUUGGUAAGGUAACGGCCUACCAAGGCGAUGACGGGUAGGGGACCUGAGAGGGUGGUCCCCACACUGGCACUGAAACACGGGCCAGACACCUACGGGUGGCAGCAGUAGGGAAUAUUGGACAAUGGGCGAGAGCCUGAUCCAGCCAUGCCGCGUGCAGGAAGACUGCCCUAUGGGUUGUAAACUGCUUUUACAGAGGAAGAACCACCCCCACGUGUGGGGGGUUUGACGGUACUCUGCGAAUAAGGAUCGGCUAACUCCGUG
This 489-nucleotide ribosomal RNA is filed under the name uncultured bacterium. RNAcentral's name for it is "bacterial SSU rRNA". It matches the Rfam family "Bacterial small subunit ribosomal RNA", at positions 28 to 507 of the family's 1533-position model. The record is from RNAcentral.